This 253-nucleotide ribosomal RNA is filed under the name uncultured bacterium. Its description in RNAcentral is "partial 16S ribosomal RNA". It matches the Rfam family "Bacterial small subunit ribosomal RNA", at positions 524 to 776 of the family's 1533-position model. The record is from RNAcentral.
UACGAAGGGGGCUAGCGUUGCUCGGAUUUACUGGGCGUAAAGGGCGCGUAGGCGGAGGUUUAAGUCGGGGGUGAAAGCCCGGGGCUCAACCUCGGAAUUGCCUUCGAUACUGGACAUCUUGAGUACGGGAGAGGUGAGUGGAACUCCGAGUGUAGAGGUGAAAUUCGUAGAUAUUCGGAAGAACACCAGUGGCGAAGGCGACUCACUGGCCCGUUACUGGCGCUGAGGCGCGAAAGCGUGGGGAGCGAACAGG